This 332-nucleotide unclassified non-coding RNA is filed under the name soil metagenome. Its description in RNAcentral is "partial contains 5.8S ribosomal RNA, internal transcribed spacer 2, and large subunit ribosomal RNA". The stretch from base 1 to 120 matches the Rfam family "5.8S ribosomal RNA", at positions 35 to 154 of the family's 154-position model. The record is from RNAcentral.
GAUGAAGAACGUAGUGAAAUGCGAUAAGUAAUGUGAAUUGCAGAAUUCAGUGAAUCAUCGAAUCUUUGAACGCACAUUGCGCCCCUUGGUAUUCCGGGGGGCAUGCCUGUUCGAGCGUCAUUAUCACCCCUCAAGCUCAGCUUGGUGUUGGGGCCUGCCCGUCACAGGGCAGCCCUUAAAAGCAGUGGCGGUGCCAUCUGGCUCUACGCGUAGUAAUACUUCUCGCGACAGAGUCCCGGUGGUGUCCUGCCAGAACCCCCCAUAUUUUUAAUGAUUGACCUCGGAUCAGGUAGGGAUACCCGCUGAACUUAAGCAUAUCAAUAAGCGGAGGA